GAGGUGCCAUCUUUUUUCGGCGUGUCACGUCUUUACGGUGCCAUGCCAAACCGGGUGGCCGGGCUUCGUAGGACAGGGCGGGGCCUGGCAUUAAAGGGAGGGGGACAAUCAGCGCUGAAAUCUUGGCGUUUUGCUGCUGCGGGCGUGAGCACUGGGGGCGUUCGCCCAGCACCUUCUUCGGGGGCUCUUUGCUUUGUCUGUAGAGGUUACGUGAUCUGCUCUCCCAGCCCUGGUUUCUGGCUUUUAUUCUGAGGGUGUUUAGCCAACCUCCCCCCUACGCCCAUGCGCCUCUCUUUCCUUUUUCGCUCCUCAUUUCCGAGCCCAUUGUUGGAUCUCGAGGCUUGCUGGGGUCGAUGAACUCGAGUCAACCCCCCGACCCCCGGCACGCAUGGAACGGGCGUGACCGCGCGCAGCCUCGUCUCGGAGUCUGCCGGCGCCGGGAAGCUUCUGAAGGGAUAGGAUUCGAGUCUCCGUGCGCGCUGCGGGCGGCGGCAGAGGGAUCUCGCCCCUCCCUACACCCCAAGUGUCCUGUGGGCCACGCCACACCAGGUUGCCCAGCGAGGGACGCUGGCUCCCCGGGUGGGGAGCCCUGGCGGGGCCUCUCCGGCUUUACGCCCUGUUGCUUCGCCUGGCUGGAGAAUGUGAGGAAGGGGCAUAAGGUUACUGGUGCUUCGGCCACACCCAUCUUUCUGAGCCCACGGGACUGGGCGCAGAGGGGGGAUUGCCAUGGAAACCACAGGCGUCCGGAGAGGGGAUCUUGGGGCUGGCCUCACCCCUUCCCUGCGGAGAUUGGGGACCCUGGGGUAGGGGGAGCCGCGCCCAGUCGGCCUCCUGGAGGACACGGGAGGAAGCCCCGAACCCCCGCGCCUGAGGCUGUUUCUGAUUGGCCCCUGGGGGCCGCAGACACGCAGAUAGGCGGCCCUGGGUGUAUUUUUAUUAAUAUUAUGUCCGUACUGAUUAAUAUUAUUUAUCUUAAAUAAAUUUCACCCGUGUCCAAGUUCACCGCGCCCCCAAAACCGAGUCUGGGGCGGCAGGGGGAACUCCUGGCCAACGAAUCCGAGCCUCGCCCUCCUGUGAUGAACCUGGUACGCACGGUUUUCUGGUUAAUUCUAUCGCUGAAAACUGGUGCGGGGGGCGCACUUCUGAGACGGAAGAGCAUCUAGGAGCUGAAUCCUCCACGCGGGUCGCCCAGGUUGAUCUGAAUUUCUGGGGAAUGUCUUGGCUGCCCGCCCGGGACCAGGCCGACCCUCCUUGACGGUGGCGUAGAGGGCUGGAGCCUGGGUACUGCGAGGCUCCUCGCAUGGCUGGGCCCGCCGCGAGGGGUUGCAGAGUGGCUCAGGGAUCGAUUCAAGCAUCGUCUCUCCUCCCUCGCCCCCAGACAGAGCUGGGCGCGGGGUUCCCCUUCCAGAUGGAGCGAGGGUCUCGGGGUGGCCCCGGAAAAGGGGAGCCCGCGGCCACGGCUACGUAUUGCCAUCUCGCGAGCAGAGAUGUCACCUCCUGCCUUUGGAGGAAAGGGAGCCCUGUGGGGAUGAGCGCAUUUAGCCUAAUGCUGGGAACAAAGCGCACUCCGCGCUUCUGCGAUUUCGCUCCAUUUUGAAAUGUGUUAGCGCUUUGGUGGGGCCGCUGCGGUGGGCAAGGCCGGGGGCGCUGUUAAUGGAGGAACCUCAGGGGGACGGUCCUUCGUAGGAAACUCUAUCCUGGCUCUGCGCGCGCUUUAAGGAAAUGGCUUCGCUCCAGGACCUCGAGGGAUGCAGCUUCUGCGCGGAUGACGGUGGGGUGCUGAACCAGCCGGUGCGCCUCUGGAAAUGUCUGGGCACGGAUCCUGGGGCCAUCGACGACUCCUCCCCAUUCCCAGCAGGCGGGAGCUCUUACAUUCCGAGCGAGAGACCCCUCUCACCCUCUGGCGCUCACACACCUGUAACUCCAAACCUCCGUCUCAGAAUGGUCCAGGCUGGAAGGGAUGAUCGGGGCUCCGACAGCGACUGCCUAGCUCACCCCUCUGCGUGCUCAGGCUCCAGGCUCAGCAGGACCAAUUUGAGUUCUAUCUGAUCCCCCUCGGCCCCUUAACUGACCCAUCCUACAGGAGACAAGGAAAUGUCUUUCCUACCGCGGUUGAUUCUGGGGUGUCAUUUUGUGUUUUGUGAUGGCUGCUUAUAUUUAUUGUAUAAGCAUUGUUUAUUUUCCAUCUCCAAAUCCUCCCUCUACAUAAACAAAUUAAUGGAUAAACAGAUAAGUGUAUCCCCUGCCCCCACCCCUGCUACGCAGGUCCGGAGUGACUCUUGAAGCUCAUACAUUCCUUGGCCAAGUUUGCUUCUCUAACAGAUGUUUAUAUAGCAAUAACCUGGCUUGGCUCUUGGGUUCACCUUUGGACGAUUUGGGGAAGGGGCUUGUUGGCUUUGCUGGUUUUUGGAUGAGUGACAGUCCAUGACUGUUCCUGCUGGAAGGGCGUGACUUUUAAGUGGUUUCUAAUAUCAGGCAUUGCUCCUCCGACAGGAACAAAAGAAAUGGAUACUGCCCAUAAAUUGUUAGAAAACUUAGAAUCGCUUUGAUUGAGGAAAGGUUAGAUUUAUUCCGGUUGGAAAAAGUGGCCUUUCUAUUAAACGUGCCCUUUGACCCUCAUGCCCUUGGAGGUCGGUGCCAGCCUGGAGAUGGGAUAAGAUUGUGGUUUUCCUUCUGCCUUUUUAACAUCUGUUGUUACAGUCCAUUUGUUGAAAAUUUAAAGAAACUGUUUUAUUCCACUUUCCCUCAGCAUUUAUGUGUGUGGUUUCAGUAGCUCUGUGGCUAUAUGUACGAACACGUGUUAUUUUUCCAAUUGGACAUGUGAUAAUUUUCCAGCUGGACCUUGCCUUCUAUUGAUGUAUUUAUUUAGCAUCUUCCUUACUCCCUCCUUGAAAAAGAAUCACUCAAAAACAAAUAAAAACAGCCAUAGGGGCCUAAUACAGUGCUAGACAUA
This 2953-nucleotide small RNA is filed under the name Pan troglodytes (chimpanzee). RNAcentral describes it as "sense intronic". Lineage: Eukaryota; Metazoa; Chordata; Mammalia; Primates; Hominidae. The record is from RNAcentral.